GAAAAACUCUAGGAGCCCCUAUCCUACAACCCUGAUUCUAGACCUCCAGACUUUCCUACCAAGGGUCAUGUUCUCGGAAACCUGCAUUCUAGACAUGUCGUGCCUAAUCACCUCUCCCGAAUACUUCUUAGGCCUCCUCUGCCUUGCCGACCGCCAACAAUCUCCAGCCGCUCGCAGCUCCUUACCAGGGCAUCGGGACUUCUCCUCCACACAUGCCCGAACCACCUCAGCCUCGCUUCUCGCAUCUUCUCAUCCAACGGGGCGACCCCCACCUUCUCUCGAAUAACUUCAUUCUUAAUCUUAUCUAGCCUGGUGUGCCCGCACAUCCACCUAAGCAUCCUCAUCC
This 346-nucleotide long non-coding RNA is filed under the name Nicotiana benthamiana. RNAcentral's name for it is "long non-coding RNA (NBEN_LNC037734)". Lineage: Eukaryota; Viridiplantae; Streptophyta; Magnoliopsida; Solanales; Solanaceae. The record is from RNAcentral.